Molecule: ribosomal RNA, 497 nt
Filed under: uncultured bacterium
Lineage: Bacteria
Description: partial 16S ribosomal RNA
Rfam family: Bacterial small subunit ribosomal RNA
Source: RNAcentral
GACGAACGCUGGCGGCGUGCCUAAUACAUGCAAGUUGAGCGCUGAAGGUUGGUACUUGUACCAACUGGAUGAGCAGCGAACGGGUGAGUAACGCGUGGGGAAUCUGCCUUUGAGCGGGGGACAACAUUUGGAAACGAAUGCUAAUACCGCAUAAAAACUUUAAACACAAGUUUUAAGUUUGAAAGAUGCAAUUGCAUCACUCAAAGAUGAUCCCGCGUUGUAUUAGCUAGUUGGUGAGGUAAAGGCUCACCAAGGCGAUGAUACAUAGCCGACCUGAGAGGGCGAUCGGCCACAUUGGGACUGAGACACGGCCCAAACUCCUACGGGAGGCAGCAGUAGGGAAUCUUCGGCAAUGGACGAAAGUCUGACCGAGCAACGCCGCGUGAGUGAAGAAGGGUGUCGGAUCGUAAAACUCUGUUGGUAGAGAAGAACGUUGGUGAGAGUGGAAAGCUCAUCAAGUGACGGUAACUACCCAGAAAGGGACGGCUAACUACGUG